AGCGAACGCUGGCGGCAGGCUUAACACAUGCAAGUCGAACGGGCGUAGCAAUACGUCAGUGGCAGACGGGUGAGUAACGCGUGGGAACGUACCUUUUGGUCGGAACAACUGAGGGAAACUUCAGCUAAUACCGGAUAAGCCCUUACGGGGAAAGAUUUAUCGCCGAAAGAUCCGGCCCGCGUCUGAUUAGCUAGUUGGUAAGUAUGGCUCACCAAGGCGACGAUCAGUAGCUGGUCUGAGAGGAUGAUCAGCCACAUUGGGACUGAGACACGGCCCAAACUCCUACGGGAGGCAGCAGUGGGGAAUAUUGACAAGUGGGGCAACCCUGAUCCAGCCAUGCCGCGUGAGUGAUGAA
Molecule: ribosomal RNA, 355 nt
Filed under: uncultured bacterium
Lineage: Bacteria
Description: bacterial SSU rRNA
Rfam family: Bacterial small subunit ribosomal RNA
Source: RNAcentral